CUGACCCGCACUGCUACGGGGCCUCGCCCGCGUGUGUGCAGCACUGAGACAGGUGGGGCCUCUGACCCGCACUGCUACGGGGCCUCGCCCGCGUGUGUGCAGCACCGAGACAGGUGGGGCCUCUGACCCGCACUGAUACGGGGCCUCGCCCGCGUGUGUGCAGCACCGAGACAGGUGGGGCCUCUGAGCCGCACUGUUACGGGGCCUCGCCCGCGUGUGUGCAGCACCGAGACAGGUGGGGCCUCUGACCCGCACUGCUACGGGGCCUCGCCCGCGUGUGUGCAGCACCGAGACAGGUGGGGCCUCUGACCCGCACUGCUACGGGGCCUCGCCCGCGUGUGUGCAGCACCGAGACAGGUGGGGCCUCUGACCCGCACUGCUACGGGGCCUCGCCCGCGUGUGUGCAGCACUGAGACAGGUGGGGCCUCUGACCCGCACUGCUACGGGGCCUCGCCCGCGUGUGUGCAGCACCGAGACAGGUGGGGCCUCUGACCCGCACUGAUACGGGGCCUCGCCCGCGUGUGUGCAGCACCGAGACAGGUGGGGCCUCUGAGCCGCACUGUUACGGGGCCUCGCCCGCGUGUGUGCAGCACCGAGACAGGUGGGGCCUCUGACCCGCA
Non-coding RNA from Oryctolagus cuniculus (rabbit), 620 nucleotides. The record is from RefSeq and is a predicted model, not a curated record. NCBI's taxonomy places the organism in Eukaryota, Metazoa, Chordata, Mammalia, Lagomorpha, Leporidae.